This 211-nucleotide unclassified non-coding RNA is filed under the name plant metagenome. RNAcentral's name for it is "partial contains small subunit ribosomal RNA, internal transcribed spacer 1, and 5.8S ribosomal RNA". The record is from RNAcentral.
UUUCCGUAGGUGAACCUGCGGAAGGAUCAUUCAUAAUAAAGUGUUUUAUGGCAUUUUUUAAAAAUCCAUAUCCACCUUGUGUGCAAUGUUAGAUCUCGUCAAUCUUGGCGAGGUUUUUAUACAUCAACUCAUUCUUUAACUAAUUUGUCUGAAAAAUAUUAUGAAUACUUAAUUCAAAAUACAACUUUCAACAACGGAUCUCUUGGCUCUC